RNAcentral lists this ribosomal RNA (710 nucleotides) under uncultured bacterium. RNAcentral describes it as "bacterial SSU rRNA". It matches the Rfam family "Bacterial small subunit ribosomal RNA", at positions 66 to 765 of the family's 1533-position model. The record is from RNAcentral.
ACGGGAUCCAUCGGAGAGCUUGCUCGAAGAUGGUGAGAGUGGCGCACGGGUGCGUAACGCGUGAGCAACCUACCUCUAUCAGGGGGAUAGCCUCUCGAAAGAGAGAUUAACACCGCAUAAUAUCAACAGUUCGCAUGUUCGGUUGAUUAAAUAUUUAUAGGAUAGAGAUGGGCUCGCGUGACAUUAGCUAGUUGGUAGGGUAACGGCUUACCAAGGCGACGAUGUCUAGGGGCUCUGAGAGGAGAAUCCCCCACACUGGUACUGAGACACGGACCAGACUCCUACGGGAGGCAGCAGUAAGGAAUAUUGGUCAAUGGGCGGAAGCCUGAACCAGCCAUGCCGCGUGCAGGAUGACUGCCCUAUGGGUUGUAAACUGCUUUUGUCCAGGAAUAAACCUAAAUACGUGUAUCUAGCUGAAUGUACUGGAAGAAUAAGGAUCGGCUAACUCCGUGCCAGCAGCCGCGGUAAUACGGAGGAUCCGAGCGUUAUCCGGAUUUAUUGGGUUUAAAGGGUGCGUAGGCGGCCUAUUAAGUCAGGGGUGAAAUACGGUGGCUCAACCAUCGCAGUGCCUUUGAUACUGAUGGGCUUGAAUCCAUUUGAAGUGGGCGGAAUAAGACAAGUAGCGGUGAAAUGCAUAGAUAUGUCUUAGAACUCCGAUUGCGAAGGCAGCUCACUAAGCUGGUAUUGACGCUGAUGCACGAAAGCGUGGG